This 426-nucleotide ribosomal RNA is filed under the name uncultured bacterium. RNAcentral describes it as "partial 16S ribosomal RNA". It matches the Rfam family "Bacterial small subunit ribosomal RNA", at positions 354 to 796 of the family's 1533-position model. The record is from RNAcentral.
GUGAGGAAUUUUCCGCAAUGGGCGAAAGCCUGACGGAGCAAUGCCGCGUGAAGGAUGAAGGCCUAUGGGUUGUAAACUUCUUUUCUCAGAAAAGAAUUAUGACGGUAUCUGAGGAAUAAGCAUCGGCUAACUCUGUGCCAGCAGCCGCGGUAAGACAGAGGAUGCAAGCGUUAUCCGGAAUGAUUGGGCGUAAAGCGUCUGUAGGUUGUUUAAAAAGUAUUCUGUCAAAGAUUAGGGCUUAACCCUAGAUAGGCAGAAUAAACUUUUAAGCUAGAGUUUGGUAGAGGCAGAGGGAAUUCCCGGUGGAGCGGUUAAAUGCCGAGAUAUCGGGAGGAACACCAAAGGCGAAGGCACUCUGGUGGGCCAAUACUAACACUGAGAGACGAAAGCGAGGGGAGCAAAUGGGAUUAGAAACCCGUGUAGUCC